This 520-nucleotide unclassified non-coding RNA is filed under the name uncultured Glomus. RNAcentral describes it as "SSU rRNA". It matches the Rfam family "Eukaryotic small subunit ribosomal RNA", at positions 569 to 1088 of the family's 1831-position model. Lineage: Eukaryota; Fungi; Glomeromycota; Glomeromycetes; Glomerales; Glomeraceae. RNAcentral also lists the same sequence under 1 other name. The record is from RNAcentral.
AGCAGCCGCGGUAAUUCCAGCUCCAAUAGCGUAUAUUAAAGUUGUUGCAGUUAAAAAGCUCGUAGUUGAAUUUCGGGGUUAGUAGGUUGGUCAUGCCUCUGGUAUGUACUGGUCUCACUGAUUCCUCCUUCCUGAUGAGCCGUAAUGCCAUUAAUUUGGUGUUGCGGGGAAUUUGGACUGUUACUUUGAAAAAAUUAGAGUGUUUAAAGCAAGCUAACGCUUGAAUACAUUAGCAUGGAAUAAUGAAAUAGGACGUUCGAUCCUAUUUUGUUGGUUUCUAGGAUUGACGUAAUGAUUAAUAGGGAUAGUUGGGGGCAUUAGUAUUCAAUUGUCAGAGGUGAAAUUCUUGGAUUUAUUGAAGACUAACUACUGCGAAAGCAUUUUGCCAAGGAUGUUUUCAUUAAUCAAGAACGAAAGUUAGGGGAUCGAAGACGAUCAGAUACCGUCGUAGUCUUAACCAUAAACUAUGCCGACUAGGGAUCGGAUGAUGUUAAUUUUUUCAAUGACUCAUUCGGCGCCU